RNAcentral lists this ribosomal RNA (422 nucleotides) under uncultured bacterium. Its description in RNAcentral is "bacterial SSU rRNA". It matches the Rfam family "Bacterial small subunit ribosomal RNA", at positions 355 to 774 of the family's 1533-position model. The record is from RNAcentral.
UGAGGAAUAUUGGGCAAUGCCCGCAAGGGUGACCCAGCAACGCCGCGUGGAGGAUGAAUGUCGUAAGAUUGUAAACUCCUGUUAGAGGGGAAGAAUAGUACCGGUUGGACCGGUAUAUGACUGUACCCUCAGAGAAAGCCCCGGCUAACUACGUGCCAGCAGCCGCGGUAAUACGUAGGACCCAAGCGUUGUCCGGAUUUACUGGGUGUAAAGGGUGCGCAGGCGGAUGGGUAAGUCAGGGGUGAAAGUCUGCAGCUUAACUGUAGAAUGGCCUUUGGUACGGCUCGUCUUGAGUGUGGGAGAGGUUGAUGGAAUUCCAGGGGUAGCAGUGAAAUGCGUAGAUAUCUGGAAGUACACCAGUGGCGAAGGCGGUCAACUGGCCCAUAACUGACGCUCAUGCACGAAAGCGUGGGGAGCAAACA